UUUUUUUUUCUUACUUGGAAUUUAAGUUGAUAAUGUGUGAGCGGACUCUACCUUACAACUACCUACUGUGUACAUGUUCUUUUGUGUAUGAAUAAGCUGUCUUUCUUCUUACAGAUUAUGCCACAGCUACUAUACCACUUUGGCGUGAAAAAUGAUGCAGAUUCUCUUGAUUGGUCAACCGUGGUCAUUUAUACAUGUGAAGCCUCUUGUGAUGGUAGCGCCUCUUGUGAUGGAAGCGUGGCUUACAAAGAGGAAUUUGCUUGGGUUCAACCUCCUGAACUUGCUACACUGAGAUGAUAUGUUCUUGGAUUUUUCCUAUAUCCCCUUUUUGUUUNAGCGGUUGUUAAUAUUCAAACAUGUAACAGGUAUUGCAGGGAUGCUGGAGCCAAACCUCUAUGGCCCAUGUCAGGUGGCCGGCCAUCAGAGACUGACAUUCCUACAUGCUGCUACUGUGGGGGACCUCGCUGCUUUGAGGUUCAGGUAGUGAGAGCUAUCUUACCUCUUCUUCUUUUUUUUUUUUUUUCUUACUUGGAAUUUAAGUUGAUAAUGUGUGAGCGGACUCUACCUUACAACUACCUACUGUGUACAUGUUCUUUUGUGUAUGAAUAAGCUGUCUUUCUUCUUACAGAUUAUGCCACAGCUACUAUACCACUUUGGCGUGAAAAAUGAUGCAGAUUCUCUUGAUUGGUCAACCGUGGUCAUUUAUACAUGUGAAGCCUCUUGUGAUGGUAGCGCCUCUUGUGAUGGAAGCGUGGCUUACAAAGAGGAAUUUGCUUGGGUUCAACCUCCUGAACUUGCUACACUGAGAUGAUAUGUUCUUGGAUUUUUCCUAUAUCCCCUUUUUGUUUCUUUUAGACUGGAGUCGGAUUCUGAUGUGUCUUUAUUGCCGGAACCUAGACUAGACUGCAAUAGUGCACUUGAAUGUCAUUUACU
RNAcentral lists this long non-coding RNA (933 nucleotides) under Daucus carota (carrot). RNAcentral describes it as "long non-coding RNA (DCAR_LNC001598)". The record is from RNAcentral. Lineage: Eukaryota; Viridiplantae; Streptophyta; Magnoliopsida; Apiales; Apiaceae.